Molecule: ribosomal RNA, 2927 nt
Filed under: Klebsiella oxytoca
Lineage: Bacteria; Pseudomonadati; Pseudomonadota; Gammaproteobacteria; Enterobacterales; Enterobacteriaceae
Description: bacterial LSU rRNA
Rfam family: Bacterial large subunit ribosomal RNA
Source: RNAcentral
GGGUUGUGAGGUUAAGCGACUAAGCGUACACGGUGGAUGCCCUGGCAGUCAGAGGCGAUGAAGGACGUGCUAAUCUGCGAAAAGCGUCGGUAAGGUGAUAUGAACCGUUAUAGCCGGCGAUGUCCGAAUGGGGAAACCCAGUGCAAUUCGUUGCACUAUCGUUAACUGAAUACAUAGGUUAACGAGGCGAACCGGGGGAACUGAAACAUCUAAGUACCCCGAGGAAAAGAAAUCAACCGAGAUUCCCCCAGUAGCGGCGAGCGAACGGGGAGCAGCCCGGAGUCUGAAUCAGCUUGUGUGUUAGUGGAAGCGUCUGGAAAGUCGCAGGGUACAGGGUGAUACUCCCGUACACUAAAACACACAGGUUGUGAACUCGAAGAGUAGGGCGGGACACGUGGUAUCCUGUCUGAAUAUGGGGGGACCAUCCUCCAAGGCUAAAUACUCCUGACUGACCGAUAGUGAACCAGUACCGUGAGGGAAAGGCGAAAAGAACCCCGGCGAGGGGAGUGAAAAAGAACCUGAAACCGUGUACGUACAAGCAGUAGGAGCCCACUUUUUGGGUGACUGCGUACCUUUUGUAUAAUGGGUCAGCGACUUAUAUUCUGUAGCAAGGUUAACCGUAUAGGGGAGCCGCAGGGAAACCGAGUCUUAACUGGGCGUUAAGUUGCAGGGUAUAGACCCGAAACCCGGUGAUCUAGCCAUGGGCAGGUUGAAGGUUGGGUAACACUAACUGGAGGACCGAACCGACUAAUGUUGAAAAAUUAGCGGAUGACUUGUGGCUGGGGGUGAAAGGCCAAUCAAACCGGGAGAUAGCUGGUUCUCCCCGAAAGCUAUUUAGGUAGCGCCUCGUGAAUUCAUCUUCGGGGGUAGAGCACUGUUUCGGCUAGGGGGUCAUCCCGACUUACCAACCCGAUGCAAACUACGAAUACCGAAGAAUGUUAUCACGGGAGACACACGGCGGGUGCUAACGUCCGUCGUGAAGAGGGAAACAACCCAGACCGCCAGCUAAGGUCCCAAAGUCAUGGUUAAGUGGGAAACGAUGUGGGAAGGCCCAGACAGCCAGGAUGUUGGCUUAGAAGCAGCCAUCAUUUAAAGAAAGCGUAAUAGCUCACUGGUCGAGUCGGCCUGCGCGGAAGAUGUAACGGGGCUAAACCAUGCACCGAAGCUGCGGCAGCGACACUAUGUGUUGUUGGGUAGGGGAGCGUUCUGUAAGCCGUUGAAGGUGGCCUGUGAGGGUUGCUGGAGGUAUCAGAAGUGCGAAUGCUGACAUAAGUAACGAUAAUGCGGGUGAAAAACCCGCACGCCGGAAGACCAAGGGUUCCUGUCCAACGUUAAUCGGGGCAGGGUGAGUCGACCCCUAAGGCGAGGCCGAAAGGCGUAGUCGAUGGGAAACAGGUUAAUAUUCCUGUACUCGGUGUUACUGCGAAGGGGGGACGGAGAAGGCUAUGUUGGCCGGGCGACGGUUGUCCCGGUUUAAGCAUGUAGGCGGAUGUUCCAGGUAAAUCCGGAACGUCACUAACGCUGAGGUGUGAUGACGAGGCACUACGGUGCUGAAGUGACAAAUGCCCUGCUUCCAGGAAAAGCCUCUAAGCAUCAGGUAACAUCAAAUCGUACCCCAAACCGACACAGGUGGUCAGGUAGAGAAUACCAAGGCGCUUGAGAGAACUCGGGUGAAGGAACUAGGCAAAAUGGUGCCGUAACUUCGGGAGAAGGCACGCUGAUGGUAGGUGAAGUGACUUGCUCAUGGAGCUGAAAUCAGUCGAAGAUACCAGCUGGCUGCAACUGUUUAUUAAAAACACAGCACUGUGCAAACACGAAAGUGGACGUAUACGGUGUGACGCCUGCCCGGUGCCGGAAGGUUAAUUGAUGGGGUUAUCCGUAAGGAGAAGCUCUUGAUCGAAGCCCCGGUAAACGGCGGCCGUAACUAUAACGGUCCUAAGGUAGCGAAAUUCCUUGUCGGGUAAGUUCCGACCUGCACGAAUGGCGUAAUGAUGGCCAGGCUGUCUCCACCCGAGACUCAGUGAAAUUGAACUCGCUGUGAAGAUGCAGUGUACCCGCGGCAAGACGGAAAGACCCCGUGAACCUUUACUAUAGCUUGACACUGAACACUGGUCCUUGAUGUGUAGGAUAGGUGGGAGGCUUUGAAGUGUGGACGCCAGUCUGCAUGGAGCCAUCCUUGAAAUACCACCCUUUAAUGGCUGGUGUUCUAACGUGGGCCCCUGAUCGGGGUUGCGGACAGUGUCUGGUGGGUAGUUUGACUGGGGCGGUCUCCUCCUAAAGAGUAACGGAGGAGCACGAAGGUCAGCUAAUCCUGGUCGGACAUCAGGAGGUUAGUGCAAUGGCAUAAGCUGGCUUGACUGCGAGCGUGACGGCGCGAGCAGGUGCGAAAGCAGGUCAUAGUGAUCCGGUGGUUCUGAAUGGAAGGGCCAUCGCUCAACGGAUAAAAGGUACUCCGGGGAUAACAGGCUGAUACCGCCCAAGAGUUCAUAUCGACGGCGGUGUUUGGCACCUCGAUGUCGGCUCAUCACAUCCUGGGGCUGAAGUAGGUCCCAAGGGUAUGGCUGUUCGCCAUUUAAAGUGGUACGCGAGCUGGGUUUAGAACGUCGUGAGACAGUUCGGUCCCUAUCUGCCGUGGGCGCUGGAGAAUUGAGGGGGGCUGCUCCUAGUACGAGAGGACCGGAGUGGACGCAUCACUGGUGUUCGGGUUGUCAUGCCAAUGGCAUUGCCCGGUAGCUAAAUGCGGAAGAGAUAAGUGCUGAAAGCAUCUAAGCACGAAACUUGCCCCGAGAUGAGUUCUCCCUGACUCCUUGAGAGUCCUGAAGGAACGUUGAAGACGACGACGUUGAUAGGCCGGGUGUGUAAGCGCAGCGAUGCGUUGAGCUAACCGGUACUAAUGAACCGUGAGGCUUAACCUUACAACGCCGAAG